CUGAAUAAAGCGUGGUCGGGGGGUUGUUGCUGGCAUCCUCUGUGAUGCAUGUGCACACCCUCUGCCACUCUGUCAUUCACCCUCUCCACCUGUGCAUUUUAUUGUAGGCCAGUUUGCCAUUUUUCACUCGCUCUUGCUUGUGUCUUGGGGUUUGCUGUUGCAUUGACACGGCUCUCCUCGUCGGCAUCUCUGGUCUAUGCUCUUUUUACCCAUAACACCCCCAUGUUUUUGUAUUGCGUUAGCUUUGUUAAAAGCAAUGUGUAUGCA
This 267-nucleotide unclassified non-coding RNA is filed under the name soil metagenome. RNAcentral's name for it is "partial internal transcribed spacer 1". The record is from RNAcentral.